UGCAAGUCGAAGGCAGCACGGGAGCAAUCCUGGUGGCGAGUGGCGAACGGGUGAGUAAAGUAUCGGAACGUGCCCAGUCGUGGGGGAUAACGUAGCGAAAGCUACGCUAAUACCGCAUACGAUCUAUGGAUGAAAGCGGGGGAUCGCAAGACCUCGCGCGAUUGGAGCGGCCGAUAUCAGAUUAGGUAGUUGGUGAGGUAAAGGCUCACCAAGCCGACGAUCUGUAGCUGGUCUGAGAGGACGACCAGCCACACUGGGACUGAGACACGGCCCAGACUCCUACGGGAGGCAGCAGUGGGGAAUUUUGGACAAUGGGCGCAAGCCUGAUCCAGCAAUGCCGCGUGCAGGAUGAGGGCCUUCGAGUUGUAAACUGCUUUUGUACGGAACGAAACGGUCUGGGUUAAUACCUCGGGCUAAUGACGGUACCGUAAGAAUAAGCACCGGCUAACUACGUGCCAGCAGCCGCGGUAAUACGUAGGGUGCAAGCGUUAAUCGGAAUUACUGGGCGUAAAGCGUGCGCAGGCGGUUUUGUAAGACAGGAGUGAAAUCCCCGGGCUUAACCUGGGAACUGCACUUGUGACUGCAAGGCUAGAGUACGGCAGAGGGGGAUGGAAUUCCGCGUGUAGCAGUGAAAUGCGUAGAUAUGCGGAGGAACACCGAUGGCGAAGGCAAUCCCCUGGGCCUGUACUGACGCUCAUGCACGAAAGCGUGGGGGAGCAACAGGAUUAGAUACCCUGGUAGUCCACGCCCUAAACGAUGUCAACUGGGUGUUGGGUCUUCACUGACUCAGUAACGAAGCUAACGCGUGAAGUUGACCGCCUGGGGAGU
This 828-nucleotide ribosomal RNA is filed under the name uncultured beta proteobacterium. Its description in RNAcentral is "bacterial SSU rRNA". It matches the Rfam family "Bacterial small subunit ribosomal RNA", at positions 56 to 881 of the family's 1533-position model. The record is from RNAcentral. Lineage: Bacteria; Pseudomonadati; Pseudomonadota; Betaproteobacteria.